RNAcentral lists this ribosomal RNA (301 nucleotides) under uncultured bacterium. RNAcentral's name for it is "partial 16S ribosomal RNA". It matches the Rfam family "Bacterial small subunit ribosomal RNA", at positions 509 to 807 of the family's 1533-position model. The record is from RNAcentral.
CAGUAGCCGCGGUAAUACGGAGGGUGCAAGCGUUAAUCGGAAUUACUGGGCGUAAAGCGUGCGUAGGCGGUUCGUUAAGUCUGUUGUGAAAGCCCCGGGCUCAACCUGAGAAUGGCAAUGGAUACUGGCGAGCUAGAGUGUGUCAGAGGAUGGUGGAAUUCCCGGUGUAGCGGUGAAAUGCGUAGAGAUCGGGAGGAACAUCAGUGGCGAAGGCGGCCAUCUGGGACAACACUGACGCUGAGGCACGAAAGCGUGGGGAGCAAACAGGAUUAGAUACCCGCGUAGUCCCUGUCUCUUAUAC